RNAcentral lists this unclassified non-coding RNA (75 nucleotides) under Chryseobacterium joostei. Its description in RNAcentral is "Flavo-1 RNA". The record is from RNAcentral. Lineage: Bacteria; Pseudomonadati; Bacteroidota; Flavobacteriia; Flavobacteriales; Weeksellaceae.
UCAUAACUUUUGUGUGAGUGAUAGCAGCGGCAUCCUUUUACUCGGCAAAAGAUAUGGAAAAUAGCACGGCCACGC